RNAcentral lists this ribosomal RNA (494 nucleotides) under uncultured bacterium. RNAcentral's name for it is "partial 16S ribosomal RNA". It matches the Rfam family "Bacterial small subunit ribosomal RNA", at positions 28 to 507 of the family's 1533-position model. The record is from RNAcentral.
GACGAACGCUGGCGGCGUGCUUAACACAUGCAAGUCGAACGGUGAAGCGCCUUCCUUUUUGGUGGGUGUGGAUGAGUGGCGAACGGGUGAGUAACACGUGAGUAACCUGCCCCCUUCUUCUGGAUAACCGCAUGAAAGUGUGGCUAAUACGGGAUAUUCUGGGUCUGUCGCAUGAUGGGUCUGGGAAAGAUAUUGUUUCGGUGGGGGAUGGGCUCGCGGCCUAUCAGCUUGUUGGUGGGGUGAUGGCCUACCAAGGCGGUGACGGGUAGCCGGCCUGAGAGGGUGGACGGUCACACUGUGACUGAGGCACGGCCCAGACUCCUACGGGAGGCAGCAGUGGGGAAUAUUGCACAAUGGGCGCAAGCCUGAUGCAGCGACGCCGCGUGAGGGAUGGAGGCCUUCGGGUUGUGAACCUCUUUCGCCAGUGAAGCAGGCCUGCCUCGUUUGUGGGUGGGUUGACGGUAGCUGGAUAAGAAGCGCCGGCUAACUACGUG